GACGAACGCUGGCGGCGUGCUUAACACAUGCAAGUCGAGCGGUAAGGCCUUUCGGGGUACACGAGCGGCGAACGGGUGAGUAACACGUGGGUGAUCUGCCCUGCACUUCGGGAUAAGCCUGGGAAACUGGGUCUAAUACCGGAUAUGACCUCCUAUCGCAUGGUGGGUGGUGGAAAGAUUUGUCGGUGCAGGAUGGGCCCGCGGCCUAUCAGCUUGUUGGUGGGGUAAUGGCCUACCAAGGCGACGACGGGUAGCCGACCUGAGAGGGUGACCGGCCACACUGGGACUGGGACACGGCCCAGACUCCUACGGGAGGCAGCAGUGGGGAAUAUUGCACAAUGGGCGAAAGCCUGAUGCAGCGACGCCGCGUGAGGGAUGACGGCCUUCGGGUUGUAAACCUCUUUCAGCAGGGACGAAGCGAAAGUGACGGUACCUGCAGAAGAAGCACCGGCUAACUACGUG
This 462-nucleotide ribosomal RNA is filed under the name uncultured bacterium. Its description in RNAcentral is "partial 16S ribosomal RNA". It matches the Rfam family "Bacterial small subunit ribosomal RNA", at positions 28 to 507 of the family's 1533-position model. The record is from RNAcentral.